UGGGGAAUAUUGCACAAUGGGGGAAACCCUGAUGCAGCGACGCCGCGUGAGCGAAGAAGUAUUUCGGUAUGUAAAGCUCUAUCAGCAGGGAAGAAAAUGACGGUACCUGACUAAGAAGCUCCGGCUAAAUACGUGCC
Molecule: ribosomal RNA, 137 nt
Filed under: uncultured bacterium
Lineage: Bacteria
Description: partial 16S ribosomal RNA
Rfam family: Bacterial small subunit ribosomal RNA
Source: RNAcentral